GGAAACUAGUCUAGACACAUUCCUUAAUGUGUAUAGGACUUGAAAACAUCAAAAUACCAUGAUCCAUGAGGGUUUACGACCGUAAACCCUAAGGAAAAUGGUCUUAGGGUCGUAAACUCCUCAAAGGAGGGAAAUGGUGCCCUAACUUCUUCCUUAGGCUUAUACAUCAAGUAGAAAUGCUUCUAGGCAAUUAUAAACCUUCAAAUCAAGAAAUGGACAAAGGAGUAUGAGCUUACGAACGUAAACUCAUGGGUUUACGACCGUAAACUCAAUGAGUUGAGGUCACAAUACCGUAAACACAAGAAAGGGGUUCUUUUGAACCCUAAACCCAAUAGCUUUGUCCUACAACACUUAGAUGCAAUCCUGGGACUUAUAACACUUAUAUAAAGUGUUUAACUUGUCUUAGGAUGUUAUAACUUUGUAAAUUAGUUGUUUAAAGACUAAUUGGAUACAUAUAUGUGCGUUUAUAUGUUAACUAGGAUCAUUGUGUGUGUAUAAGUCUUCACUUGACACCUAACAAUCCUAUAUCUUCAGUUCAUCCAAAUCGCUCACUACAGGUGAGUUCAUACCCCUUAAAUUGACCUUUUAAUGUUUUUAAAUUCUUUUAUGGGGGGAUACAAGUUGAAUACUUAUAGUUAUUAUAUCAAUCACAUGUGAUUAAUAGCUACCAAACAAGUGGUUUUCUUACUUUUCAAACUGUGUUAUCAAACUGUUUUGCUUCAAACUAUUUUACAAACUCCUCUGUUGUCAAAUAAUUUAACUUCAACUCUUUUCAUACUUUUAUAUUUUCAAACACAUGCCUUUGUAUGUAUAGUUAUAUAAGUAAUUUUUAAAGGAUUUAGGAUGGCUAGCUCGCAUUAUCUCCUUUUCCUUGUUAAGAUGUGGCGUUAGGGCAUCGGGUAUCCGUCCGAAGGUCGUCUAAAUAUUAGUUAUAUAUUAUGUAUACAUAUAUAGACAUAAAAGUUCCACCAUCCAAUUCAAUACUCUUGAGUAGCAAGGGUAUACAUUGAUGAUCAUUAUGUACAAGUCAUAUUACUAGUAAACUACGAUAGGCAUAGUUUAGGAAGAUACUAAUGCUAUUACAAGAACGAAGAAUCAUACAAUUAGUCGGUUCAUUCAUGAGUUAAUACUUGCUAGAUAGAGAGAGAGCACAAUACAGCUAGUACACACAGUAAAUUACUAUACAUGCUAGAUAGAGAAAUAACACACAUUACAGCUAGUACACGCAGAACUUGACAAUACAUACAGGCUAGACAGAGAAAGAACACACAAUACAGCUAGGACAUACAUUACAUAUACAUUCAUGCAGUUAUUGUUGGUUUUUGAGCACUCUAACACUCCUAAGUGUACAUGCAACCCUAAAUACCUUGGAUCUAUGUUUUCUCUAUUAUACAUGCAAAUAUGAACUUUCGAAGGUAUUCAUCCUAACUAGCAUAAUAAUAUGAUUCAUAUGAAUAUAUAUCAAUUUACAAUUACAUACCUCUUUAAUGUAGAAAGUAUUCAUGAAGCUUGACUUCCUAGUACCCCAAGUGUGACACCUCAAAUGGUUCACACAACACCAGAUACACUUGGAAUAACUUGAGAGAAACUUGUACACUCCUUGAAAUCGUCUAGCCCUCACACUCACACAUAGUGCACGAGUUAUUGAACCAUGGUAUUCUUUUAUAUGGUGGUUGUUAGGGUUACACCAUGUAACUCAUGACUUUACCUAUUCCUUAUGCUCCAUGGAUUUUAACCUCCAUGGAGUAUCCAUGGGUCACCCCAUGCACUUAGUCCAACACAAGGAAUCUUGGAUCACAAGCCCACAUAUAUAAUAAUGAAUGAUUUACACAAUCAACCCAUAUAUUUAAUUACUCUCCUUUUGAUCACUUAAUUAAUUCCAAAUUAAUUCUUGAUCAAUACCAAUUAAAUAACCUUAUUAAUAUAUUAGAACUUAUAAUAUAUUAACAAACCUUAAGUGUUAUUUCUCUCAUUUUAGUCUAUCCAAAUGCAUGAUGCCAUGCAACCCAAAUGGACCAUGUCGGGUCGGGUCAAGUCUUACCAAUUAUAGUUAUGGACAUAGACAUUAAUCCAACAGUCUCCCACUUGGAUAAGUCUAAAACUAUUACUGCGUAUGACUUCAAGAACCGACUGGCAAUCGUAGCUCUCAAAAGCUUCUGUCGAACUCUGACCUUGUAGAUGAACUCUGACCUUUGUCAAUGACUUGUCCAUUAGAUAAGGGAUCAUAUAUUCCUCCAUUCUAGAUAUCAUAUGGACUGAGACAUGGAUUAUAAUCAUUCUCUCUGUCCAUUUGUUGUUUCCCGAUUUCCGAUUUAUGACGACUGACUAAUUGAACAAAUCAAAUCAGUCCUGGCCCGGCCGAGCACUUCCAUUUGUCAUCAUCAAAUCAUCGAGGGGCCCACAGAUAUCGCUUUUAUCCCGAAGGUAAAAGGAACGGAUAAACUUCGACUCAUAUGGCUUGUUCUACUACUUGUUGAAUCAUACACAAAGGCACGUUUUAUAGCACCGAGUUACCAAAUGCGUUUUCGUGCAAUCAAUGUACAACCAACUCAUAGUAACAACUCAUAUCUCUAGGUUUGAAGAAUAUAAGAUAUUAUCGUCUCAUGAUCACUCGUGAUAAAAUCCAUGAAGUGAUUCCAAUGAGCGCGGGUUGAAUCCAAUACUCAGAACUUAUGAGCACUCAUGAGUGUUGUAGCCCUUUGUCCAACACCUUAGACCUCUACAAGCCAACCCAUGACAGUCUUAAUUCAUAUCUACUUCCAACAUAUGACCGACUGUGGAUGGUUUGAAUAACUUAGUCAUCCAGAACAAUGACCUAGUUAUGAAGGAAGUCAAAACACGCAAAGUGACACAAAAUAAUAAUUGAAUCCAAUAAGGUAUCAAAACCUAUGAACAUAAAUAAAACACCUUUUAUUUAUCACCAUAUGAUUACACAUUAUUCAUUGUAUAUUGUUUCAGCUAUCAACUUUAUUCUUGAAUUUAAAACAAUAGUUGUCCCAUGCUCCAAGCAUGUACACUAUGUUUUCUUAACACUAGUCAUGCCAUACACCAAGUAUGCAUACUAUGUUUGUCUAUGAUCUUUACUUUGUGAACUAGAUCAAUUGAACAUAACUUCAAUGAUUCUCUUUUCACACUCCCAAAUCCUUACUGCAAAUGCAAGAAUUCCAAAUUCAUGCCAUUUACUGAAAUCUGUUAGAUUCUAAACUUAUAUGGAUUGAUCCUCUUGUAAUGAUUAUCCACAAAGUCGCAAAGACUUGACAACAACCAUUACAGAGCAUUCCAAAAGAGAUCAGCUCCUUGGAAACAUCCUUCUUCCAUUAAGUUUCCAAAUAUUACACAGAUUGAAUAAUUUCUAACUUUGAAGCAUUUCCAGAUUCCAUUUUGACUAUCACUUCUGAACAAGAGUUGCCUCCUUACAGAUUAUGUCAAUAUGGUCCUUCUAGAAUUAUCACUAUACUUCCAACUGUCCUUGAGCAACAAAUCUUUGGUAAACCUUAAAUUGUCCUCAACAAUUGUUUAAUCCUGAUAAACGUAGGAAACCAUUGGAGUUCUAGGUGGUGACCGUCUUCUAUUGAAGGUCUCACCCUGGAAGGUCUGUCCGACGAGACUCUUGUAAUCCCCCUCGACGAGAUCGAGAUCAACGAGAGCCUCAACUACGUGUAAGAACCAGUGGAGAUCAUGGACUAGGUUCCCUGGAAAGCAAACAAAACAAAGUCGUAUCCCGAUAAUGAAGGUUCGCUGGAACGCCAAGGGAGGACCUGAAUUCACUUGGGAUCGUGAGAAUCAGAUGAAACUGAAAUAUCCUCGUCUUUUUACUUAGUUAUUUGUAACUACUUAUUUGCUUUAACUCUAAUUUCGGGACGAAAUUCCUUCUAAGGAGGGGAUGAUGUGACAACCCGAAAUUUCUAUUCUUUACGACAUUUCCAUUCAAUAGAAGUCAGAACAGUAUUGUUAGUUUUUAGACUUUUUAGAAUAAGUUUGAGUAUUUUAGGAUUAACAAUUUAGGAGAUAUCAGGAGAGAGGAUGCCCUAGACUUUAUUGUGCAACAAUAAAGUCCCGACACAUCAAAAUAUAGGAGUUUACGGCCUAACCAAUGGUGUUUACGGCCGUAAACCCCAAGGAAUGGGGUAUAUAAGUGAAACUUAGUCAUUUAUAUCAUUUUUCCACCUUUUCAAGAACAAACCUCAAACUCUCUCAAGUAUCAUCAAAGUUUUCUUCAAGAUCUUCAAUCUAGUAAGUGUUUCUAGCCCUUUCAAGUUAUUAUAUCACCUAAUCAAGUGUUUUAACACACAUCCAUCCAUGAAAAUGUUCCAAAAGGUUGUUCUUCAAGUUUCACCAAGAACACACACUAGUGUUCUUGGACUUUUGGCUCAUUUCAAGCUUCUAUAUUGUAAGUACUUCUGUCCUAGAGUAUCAUAGAGCUUAUUAUACUUCCAUAUAUCAAGAAAACACAAAGAAACACUAAGAUCAAAGUUGUUUAUGGUCCAUCAACUCUGUGAACCGUAAACCCUUCUUAAGGGGCAAAAGUGACCCUAGUCCUUUCCUUCCCUUGGGAAACUAGUCUAGACACAUUCCUUAAUGCGUAUAGGACUUGAAAACAUCAAAAUACCAUGAUCCAUGAGGGUUUACGACCGUAAACCCUAAGGAAAAUGGUCUUACGGCCGUAAACUCCUCAAAGGAGGGAAAUGGUGCCCUAACUUCUUCCUUAGGCUUAUACAUCAAGUAGAAAUGCUUCUAGGCAAUUAUAAACCUUCAAAUCAAGAAAUGGAUAAAGGAGUAUGAGCUUACGACCGUAAACUCAUGGGUUUACGACCGUAAACUCAAUGAGUUGAGGUCACCAAAGCGUAAGCACAAGAAAGGGGUUCUUUUGAAC
RNAcentral lists this long non-coding RNA (4873 nucleotides) under Lactuca sativa (garden lettuce). RNAcentral describes it as "long non-coding RNA (LSAT_LNC009620)". The record is from RNAcentral. Lineage: Eukaryota; Viridiplantae; Streptophyta; Magnoliopsida; Asterales; Asteraceae.